AAAGUUGUUGCGGUUAAAAAGCUCGUAGUCGGAGGUGUGUCUCGGACGGUCGGUUCGCCGCUUGUCGGUGCUCAACUGGCCGGUCCGGACGUCCUGCCGGUGGGGUCGCAAGACCCCGUCAUCCUUCUUUGGUCCUCUUCACCGAGUGCCUUGGUGGGCCGGCACGUUUACUUUGAACAAAUUAGAGUGCUCAAAGCAGGCCGUUGGUCGCCUGAAUACUGUGUGCAUGGAAUAAUGGAAUAGGACCUCGGUUCCAUUUUGUUGGUUUUCAGAACUCGAGGUAAUGAUUAAUAGGGACGGACGGGGGCAUUCGUAUUGCGACGUUAGAGGUGAAAUUCUUGGAUCGUCGCAAGACGAACCGAUGCGAAAGCAUUUGCCAAGAACGUUUUCGUUGAUCAAGAACGAAAGUUAGAGGUUCGAAGGCGAUCAGAUACCGCCCUAGUUCUAACCAUAAACGAUGCCAGCUAGCCAUCCGCCGAAGUUCCUUCUAUGACUCGGCGGGCAGCUUCCGGGAAACCAAAGCUCUUGGGUUCCGGGGGAAGUAUGGUUGCAAAGCUCANACUUGAAGGA
Molecule: ribosomal RNA, 570 nt
Filed under: Pseudagrion ignifer
Lineage: Eukaryota; Metazoa; Arthropoda; Insecta; Odonata; Coenagrionidae
Description: SSU rRNA
Rfam family: Eukaryotic small subunit ribosomal RNA
Source: RNAcentral